Molecule: long non-coding RNA, 1974 nt
Filed under: Ornithorhynchus anatinus (platypus)
Lineage: Eukaryota; Metazoa; Chordata; Mammalia; Monotremata; Ornithorhynchidae
Description: lncRNA (ENSOANG00000044319.1)
Source: RNAcentral
GGACUGGCUAGGCCUCCGCUCGACUCUCCCUCCCGUAGCCGCGACUGGUAGAGGUCUGGAAACUCUCCAGGUGUGACCUUGAGAGGGUACAGUUUUAAAUAGGUGGCUGAAAUCCUAUAGGAACUCAAAUUACUUUUUGGUAAUUAAAAAAAUCUCGAUUGUGUGAAAAAAGGAAUUGUUAAACUACAACAUUAAUAAGACAGACAUACAGCGUCGUACCUCUGCAGGUUCUGUCGUUAUUGUGAUUUUAGAAGUUCAUAUAACUGCAAAUUAUGAAAGAGAAAUGGAAAUUCAGUGGCAUGAUGCUAGGGAACACAAAUUCCUGCUGAGCAUCUAGAGGAAUAUAAGUAUUCAAUGCCUAAGGAAAAUUUACAGUGGGAAAUAAAGAAUUGUGAAAUUAAGCUAGCUGCCCAGAAAUUCACUCAGCAAUGAUUCCCUGAAAUGUCGGUAUCACUGCCAAGGAAAUACGGUAAGUGUUACGGUCCAAACCCUGCUAUCAGUCUAUUAUUUAUUCAUUCACCUAAUACCCGUCCAUUACACAAGGAGAGUGGUUGUCUAUAGGAUACACGUUUGAAAUUCAAAUUUCCUCUCGCCAUUCAAGAACCAUUCCAAACAUGAAGAGUGUCUGCCUGGAAGCUGUGAUUGCAACAUGACGAUGAAGGUGGGAAAGAAUAAAGGCCUGGGAGCCGUCUGUUGGAACUCCAGAUCUCCGCUACACGAUAACGGCAUCCGUGGGAGGAAGGAGCCGCGACCGAAAACACAAGGAUCACAGCAGCGGAGAACACAGGCUAGGCUCCGUCCAUACUGUCUCAGGCUAGGCCUCGUCAUUUCACCCCAGGUAGGACUUGAUGAUUUCUGGAGAGGGAGAUGCAACGGUAAUCAUAAUAACGAUGGUAUUUAUUAAGCGCUUACUAUGUACCAGGCACUGUUCUAAGGGCUGGGGUAGAUGCAAGGUAAUCAGGUGGUCCCACGUGGGGCUCACAGUCGUAAUCCCCAUUUUACAGAUGAGAUAACUGAGGCACAGAGAAGUUAAGUGACUUGCCGAAAGUCACGCAGCUGAUAAGCGGCGGAGCCGGGAAUUAGAACCCAAGACCUCUGACUCCCAAGCCCGUGCUCCUUCCACUAAGCCACGCUGCUUCUCAUGACAACGACAGAAGGAAGCUCCAGCCGGAUUUACAGAUUUACCGCCUGCAAGUUGACAUGCCGAGCAUCGAGGGGGAAUUAGGACACUUCACGUCUGCAAUCAAUUCACAGGUCCAUAAGUGUAAAGGUAUACUAUGGAGUGGCUUAAACUGUUGGCCUUUGAAAAUGAAACUUCAUAAUAGAGUGUGGCCUUAAAAAAAAAACCUGGGCUCUUUGUAUGGGUUAGGUAGAUAAAGCUAAAUGAAAUCAAAAUGGGCCAUGUCUCACUGAGAAGUAGAGCCAAUCGAUCAGUGAGUCGAUCGGAAGCAGCGAGGCCCAGUGGAUAGAGCACAGGCCUGGGAAGAAUUAUAAUAAUAAUAAUAAUGGUGGUGUUUGUUAAGCGCUUACUGUGUGCAAAGCACUGUUCUAAGCGCUGAGGGGAUACAGGGUAAUCAGAUUGUCCCACGUGGGGCUCACGGUUUUUAAUCCCCAUUUUACAGAUGAGGUCACUGAGGCACAGAGAAGUGAAGUGACUUGCCCAAAGUCACACAGCUGGCAAGCGGCGGAGCCGGGAUUAGAACCCAUGACCUCUGACUCCCCAACCCGGGCUCUUGCCCCUAAGCCAUGCUCCUUCUCCUACGUAAUUUACAUCUCCUAGGUAAGAAGGAACCGAGUUCUAAUCCCGACUCUUCCACGUGUCCGCUCUUGGACCGUGGCCAAGUGGCUUUACUUCUCUGUGCCUCAGUUACUUCAUCUGUAAAAUGGGGAUUAAAACUGUGGGCCCCACUGUGGGACAGAAGGUGUGUCCAAUACGAUUUGCUUGUAUCCACCCCAGUGUGCUAAAUGUCUGGA